UACUAACGCUGGCGGCGUGCUUAACACAUGCAAGUCGAACGGUGAAGCGCCUUCCUUUUUGGUGGGUGUGGAUGAGUGGCGAACGGGUGAGUAACACGUGAGUAACCUGCCCCCUUCUUCUGGAUAACCGCAUGAAAGUGUGGCUAAUACGGGAUAUUCUGGGUCUGUCGCAUGAUGGGUCUGGGAAAGAUAUUGUUUCGGUGGGGGAUGGGCUCGCGGCCUAUCAGCUUGUUGGUGGGGUGAUGGCCUACCAAGGCGGUGACGGGUAGCCGGCCUGAGAGGGUGGACGGUCACACUGGGACUGAGACACGGCCCAGACUCCUACGGGAGGCAGCAGUGGGGAAUAUUGCACAAUGGGCGCAAGCCUGAUGCAGCGACGCCGCGUGAGGGAUGGAGGCCUUCGGGUUGUGAACCUCUUUCGCCAGUGAAGCAGGCCUGCCUCGUUUGUGGGUGGGUUGACGGUAGCUGGAGAAGAAGCGCCGGCUAACUACGUG
Molecule: ribosomal RNA, 494 nt
Filed under: uncultured bacterium
Lineage: Bacteria
Description: partial 16S ribosomal RNA
Rfam family: Bacterial small subunit ribosomal RNA
Source: RNAcentral